This 369-nucleotide ribosomal RNA is filed under the name uncultured bacterium. Its description in RNAcentral is "bacterial SSU rRNA". It matches the Rfam family "Bacterial small subunit ribosomal RNA", at positions 28 to 399 of the family's 1533-position model. The record is from RNAcentral.
GACGAACGCUGGCGGCGUGCUUAACACAUGCAAGUCGAGCGGUAAGGCCCUUUCGGGGGUACACGAGCGGCGAACGGGUGAGUAACACGUGGGUGACCUGCCCUCAGCUCUGGGAUAAGCCUGGGAAACCGGGUCUAAUACUGGAUAUGACUCCAUGACGCAUGUUGUGGGGUGGAAAGCCUUGUGCGGCUGAGGAUGGGCCCGCGGCCUAUCAGCUUGUUGGUGGGGUGAGGCCUACCAAGGCGACGACGGGUAGCCGGCCUGAGAGGGCGACCGGCCACACUGGGACUGAGACACGGCCCAGACUCCUACGGGAGGCAGCAGUGGGGAAUCUUGCGUAAUGGGCGAAAGCCUGACGCAGCGACGCCG